GCCCGGAUGGUGGAAUCGGUAGACACAAGGGAUUUAAAAUCCCUCGGCGUUCGCGCUGUGCGGGUUCAAGUCCCGCUCCGGCA
Molecule: transfer RNA, 83 nt
Filed under: Escherichia coli
Lineage: Bacteria; Pseudomonadati; Pseudomonadota; Gammaproteobacteria; Enterobacterales; Enterobacteriaceae
Description: tRNA-Leu
Rfam family: tRNA
About the family: Transfer RNA (tRNA) molecules are approximately 80 nucleotides in length. Their secondary structure includes four short double-helical elements and three loops (D, anti-codon, and T loops).
Source: RNAcentral